GGCUUAUUGAUAAUAAUUUUAGGUCUAUCUGCCCAAUGAUUUAAAUUUAAUGGCUGCAGUAUAACUAACUGUACAAAGGUAGCAUAAUCAAUUGUUUUUUAAUUGAAAACUGGGAUGAAAGAAUUAAUGAGAUAUAUUCUGUCUCAUAUAUAUGUUAUGAAAUUAAAUUUUUAGUAAGAAUGCUGAAAUUUAUUUAUGGGACGAUAAGACCCUAUAGAAUUUUAUAUUUAUUUUUAAAUUUUAUUUAAUUUUAGGAGUAAAUAUUUAGUUGGGAGGACUGAUAAAUUUAAAUAACUUUACUUUAAAUAUAUACUUUAAUUAAAGAAUAAUUUUUGAUCUUUUAUUAAAAAUUAGAAGAAAAAAUUACCUUAGGGAUAACAGCGUAAUAUCUUUUUAAAGGCCAAAUUAAUAAAGAUGAUUGCGACCUCGAUGUUGAAUUAAGAUAAAUUUUAAAUGAAGAAGUUUAAUAAUUAAGUCUGUUCGACUUUUAAAAUCUU
RNAcentral lists this ribosomal RNA (497 nucleotides) under Bombus friseanus. Its description in RNAcentral is "partial 16S ribosomal RNA". It matches the Rfam family "Bacterial large subunit ribosomal RNA", at positions 1827 to 2597 of the family's 2925-position model. The record is from RNAcentral. Lineage: Eukaryota; Metazoa; Arthropoda; Insecta; Hymenoptera; Apidae.